GACGAACCGAGCGAACGUUGUUCGGAAUUACUGGGCGUAAAGCGCACGUAGGCGGCUUUGUAAGUUAGAGGUGAAAGCCCAGGGCUCAACCCUGGAAUUGCCUUUAAGACUGCAUCGCUAGAAUUGUGGAGAGGUAAGUGGAAUUCCGAGUGUAGAGGUGAAAUUCGUAGAUAUUCGGAAGAACACCAGUGGCGAAGGCGACUUACUGGACACAUAUUGACGCUGAGGUGCGAAAGCGUGGGGAGCAAACAGG
RNAcentral lists this ribosomal RNA (253 nucleotides) under uncultured bacterium. Its description in RNAcentral is "partial 16S ribosomal RNA". It matches the Rfam family "Bacterial small subunit ribosomal RNA", at positions 524 to 776 of the family's 1533-position model. The record is from RNAcentral.